AACGUAGGUGGCAAGCGUUAUCCGGAAUUACUGGGCGUAAAGGGUGUGCAGGCGGGGUGGCAAGUGGUGUAUGAAAUAUCCCAGCUUAACUGGGAGGGGUUAUGCCAGACUGCUACUCUAGAGGACGAGAGAGGGGCGUGGAAUUCCGGGUGUAGUGGUGAAAUGCGUAGAGAUCCGGAGGAACCCCAGAGGCGAAGGCGACGCCCUGGCUCGUACCUGACGCUCAGCCACGAAAGCAUGGGGAGCGAACGGG
RNAcentral lists this ribosomal RNA (253 nucleotides) under uncultured bacterium. RNAcentral describes it as "partial 16S ribosomal RNA". It matches the Rfam family "Bacterial small subunit ribosomal RNA", at positions 524 to 776 of the family's 1533-position model. The record is from RNAcentral.